This 2255-nucleotide ribosomal RNA is filed under the name Legionella pneumophila. Its description in RNAcentral is "partial 23S ribosomal RNA". It matches the Rfam family "Bacterial large subunit ribosomal RNA", at positions 678 to 2925 of the family's 2925-position model. The record is from RNAcentral. Lineage: Bacteria; Pseudomonadati; Pseudomonadota; Gammaproteobacteria; Legionellales; Legionellaceae.
CGAGUCUGAAUAGGGCGAUAGUCGCUGGGAGUAGACCCGAAACCGGGCGAUCUAGCCAUGUGCAGGAUGAAGGUUGGGUAACACCAACUGGAGGUCCGAACCGGGUAAUGUUGAAAAAUUAUCGGAUGACGUGUGGCUAGGAGUGAAAGGCUAAUCAAGCCCGGAGAUAGCUGGUUCUCCCCGAAAGCUAUUUAGGUAGCGCCUCGUGAAUGAUUACUGGGGGUAGAGCACUGUUUCGGCUAGGGGGCUGUCAUGGCUUACCAAACCGAUGCAAACUCCGAAUACCGGCUAAUUGAAUCACGGGAGACACACGGCGGGUGCUAACGUCCGUCGUGGAGAGGGAAACAACCCAGACCGCCAGCUAAGGUCCCCAAGUACUAGUUAAGUGGGAAACGAUGUGGGAAGGCAUAGACAGCCAGGAGGUUGGCUUAGAAGCAGCCACCCUUUAAAGAAAGCGUAAUAGCUCACUGGUCGAGUCGGCCUGCGCGGAAGAUGUAACGGGGCUAAAACUAGUCACCGAAGCUGCGGAUGUGCGCGAAGGCGCACGUGGUAGGGGAGCGUUCUGUAGGCUGAUGAAGGUGCAUUGAGAAGUGUGCUGGAGGUAUCAGAAGUGCGAAUGCUGACAUGAGUAACGAUAAUGUGGGUGAAAAGCCCACACGCCGGAAGUCCCAGGUUUCCUGCACGACGUUAAUCGGAGCAGGGUGAGUCGGCCCCUAAGGCGAGGCUGAAGAGCGUAGUCGAUGGGAACCAGGUUAAUAUUCCUGGACUUUUUAUAAGUGGUGAAGUGGGGACGAAGAAGGCUAGGUGAGCCAGGCGUUGGUUGUCCUGGUACUUGCAUGUAGGGGGGAAGACUUGGCAAAUCCGGUUUUCCAUAACUCUGAGGUGCGAAGUGGUUCUGACCUUUUGGUACAGAGAAGUCAUUGAUGCCCGGCUUCCAGGAAAAGCUGCUAGCCAUAACUUAUAGAGAACCGUACCGCAAACCGACACAGGUGGACAGGUAGAGAAUACUAAGGCGCUUGAGAGAACUCGGGUGAAGGAACUAGGCAAAAUGGUACCGUAACUUCGGGAGAAGGUACGCCCUUUCUGGUGAUGGGAUUUACUUUCAGAGCUGGAGAGGGCCGCAGAGACCAGGUGGCUGCGACUGUUUAUUAAAAACACAGCACUCUGCAAAUUCGUAAGAAGACGUAUAGGGUGUGACGCCUGCCCGGUGCCGGAAGGUUAAUUGAUGGGGUUAUCUUCGGAGAAGCUCUUGAUCGAAGCCCCGGUAAACGGCGGCCGUAACUAUAACGGUCCUAAGGUAGCGAAAUUCCUUGUCGGGUAAGUUCCGACCUGCACGAAUGGCGUAACGAUGGCCACACUGUCUCCACCCGAGACUCAGUGAAAUUGAAAUCGCUGUGAAGAUGCAGUGUACCCGCGGCUAGACGGAAAGACCCCGUGAACCUUUACUAUAGUUUUGCACUGGACUUUGAUGAUGACUGUGUAGGAUAGGUGGGAGGCUGUGAAGUGAGGACGCUAGUUCUCAUGGAGCCGCCCUUGAAAUACCACCCUGUUGUUAUUGAGGUUCUAACUUGGUCCAGUAAUCCUGGAUGAGGACAGUGUAUGAUGGGUAGUUUGACUGGGGCGGUCUCCUCCCAAAGAGUAACGGAGGAGCACAAAGGUACCCUCGGUACGGUCGGACAUCGUACCAAGAGUGUAAAGGCAAAAGGGUGCUUGACUGCGAGAGUGACGGCUCGAGCAGGAACGAAAGUUGGUCUUAGUGAUCCGGUGGUUCUGAAUGGAAGGGCCAUCGCUCAACGGAUAAAAGGUACUCCGGGGAUAACAGGCUGAUACCGCCCAAGAGUUCAUAUCGACGGCGGUGUUUGGCACCUCGAUGUCGGCUCAUCACAUCCUGGGGCUGAAGCAGGUCCCAAGGGUAUGGCUGUUCGCCAUUUAAAGUGGUACGCGAGCUGGGUUUAGAACGUCGUGAGACAGUUCGGUCCCUAUCUGCCGUGGGCGUAGGAAAAUUGAGAGGAGCUGCUCCUAGUACGAGAGGACCGGAGUGGACGAACCUCUGGUGCACCGGUUGUCACGCCAGUGGCAUGGCCGGGUAGCUAAGUUCGGACGGGAUAACCGCUGAAAGCAUCUAAGCGGGAAGCCUCCCUCAAGAUGAGUUUUCCCAUGAAGCCCGUUGAAGACUACGACGUUGAUAGGCAAGGUGUGGAAGCGCAGUAAUGCGUGAAGCUAACUUGUACUAAUUGGCUGAUUGUCUUGACCAU